This 322-nucleotide unclassified non-coding RNA is filed under the name Auriculariales sp. RNAcentral describes it as "partial contains 5.8S ribosomal RNA, internal transcribed spacer 2, and large subunit ribosomal RNA". The stretch from base 1 to 71 matches the Rfam family "5.8S ribosomal RNA", at positions 84 to 154 of the family's 154-position model. The record is from RNAcentral. Lineage: Eukaryota; Fungi; Basidiomycota; Agaricomycetes; Auriculariales.
GUGAGUCAUCGAAUCUUUGAACGCAUCUUGCGCCCCUUGGUAUUCCGAGGAGCAUGCCUGUUUCAGUGUCACGUAAACUCUCACACUUGCGAUGUAACAAUUUCAAGUUGUGGAUUUGGACUGUGCCGUAGUUGGCUCGUCCUGAAAUGCAUUAGCUUGCGCUUAUUAGAGUGCUUGGCAUUGGUGUGAUAAUUAUCUGCGCCGUAGCCUCACGCCUCUUCGGAAGUGCUGCUUCUAAUCGUCUGAAUGGACAAUUUUCAAACUUUGGCCUGAAAUCAGGUAGGACUACCCGCUGAACUUAAGCAUAUCAAUAAGCGGAGGA